CCGGCGACCGGCGGACGGGUGCGUAACGCGUAUGUAACCUACCUUUGACAUGGGGAUAACAUCGAGAAAUUGGUACUGAUACCCCAUAACAUCACCGGAGGCAUCUUCGGUGGUUGAAAACUCAGGUGGUCAGAGAUGGACAUGCGUUGUAUUAGCUAGUUGGUGAGGUAACGGCUCACCAAGGCGACGAUACAUAGGGGGACUGAGAGGUCAACCCCCCACAUUGGUACUGAGACACGGACCAAACUCCUACGGAAGGCAGCAG
RNAcentral lists this ribosomal RNA (265 nucleotides) under uncultured bacterium. RNAcentral describes it as "partial 16S ribosomal RNA". It matches the Rfam family "Bacterial small subunit ribosomal RNA", at positions 88 to 354 of the family's 1533-position model. The record is from RNAcentral.